CCUACGGGCGGCAGCAGUGGGGAAUAUUGCACAAUGGGCGCAAGCCUGAUGCAGCCAUGCCGCGUGUGUGAAGAAGGCCUUCGGGUUGUAAAGCACUUUCAGCGGGGAGGAAGGCGUUAAGGUUAAUAACCUUGGCGAUUGACGUUACCCGCCGAAGAAGCACCGGCUAACUCCGUGCCACCAGCCGCGGUAAUACGGAGGGUGCAAGCGUUAAUCGGAAUUACUGGGCGUAAAGCGCACGCAGGCGGUCUGUCAAGUCGGAUGUGAAAUCCCCGGGCUCAACCUGGGAACUGCAUUCGAAACUGGCAGGCUAGAGUCGUGUAGAGGGGGGUAGAAUUCCAGGUGGAGCGGUGAAAUGCGUAGAGAUCUGGAGGAAUACCGGGGGCGAAGGCGGCCCCCUGGACAAAGACUGGCGCUCAGGUGCGAAAGCGUGGGGAGCAAACAGGAUUAGAUACCCGUGUAGUC
Molecule: ribosomal RNA, 465 nt
Filed under: uncultured Klebsiella sp.
Lineage: Bacteria; Pseudomonadati; Pseudomonadota; Gammaproteobacteria; Enterobacterales; Enterobacteriaceae
Description: bacterial SSU rRNA
Rfam family: Bacterial small subunit ribosomal RNA
Source: RNAcentral